UGCCAGCAGCCGCGGUAAUACGUAGGGGGCGAGCGUUGUCCGGAAUUAUUGGGCGUAAAGAGCUCGUAGGCGGUCUGGUAAGUCGAAUGUGAAAACUCAGGGCUUAACCCUGAGAGGCCAUCCGAUACUGCCAUGACUUGAGUCCGGUAGAGGAGUGUGGAAUUUCUGGUGUAGCGGUGAAAUGCGCAGAUAUCAGAAGGAACACCAACGGCGAAGGCAGCACUCUGGGCCGGUACUGACGCUGAGGAGCGAAAGCGUGGGGAGCAAACAGGAUUAGAUA
Molecule: ribosomal RNA, 280 nt
Filed under: uncultured bacterium
Lineage: Bacteria
Description: partial 16S ribosomal RNA
Rfam family: Bacterial small subunit ribosomal RNA
Source: RNAcentral